Leersia perrieri is the source of this 139-nucleotide small nucleolar RNA. It matches the Rfam family "Small nucleolar RNA Z247". From Rfam's summary of the family: Z247 is a member of the C/D class of snoRNA which contain the C (UGAUGA) and D (CUGA) box motifs. Most of the members of the box C/D family function in directing site-specific 2'-O-methylation of substrate RNAs. The record is from Rfam. NCBI's taxonomy places the organism in Eukaryota, Viridiplantae, Streptophyta, Magnoliopsida, Poales, Poaceae.
CCGCUGGAUGAGGAGGAGCUGGUGUCGUACAUCCUCGCCGGGCUGGACUUCGAUUACAACCCGGUGGUCUCGUCGGUGGUGGCACGCGUCGAGCCGAUUACUGUGAGUGAGCUCUAUGCUCAGGUUAACGGUUUCGAGC